RNAcentral lists this unclassified non-coding RNA (379 nucleotides) under uncultured Actinomycetes bacterium. RNAcentral describes it as "uncultured actinobacterium contains 16S-23S intergenic spacer region". Lineage: Bacteria; Bacillati; Actinomycetota; Actinomycetes. The record is from RNAcentral.
UCCGAGUUGACCCCGGCAGUCUCCCAUGAGUCCCCGCCAUUACGCGCUGGCAACAUGGAACGAGGGUUGCGCUCGUUGCGGGACUUAACCCAACAUCUCACGACACGAGCUGACAACAACCAUGCACCACCUGUGAACCGGCCCCAAAGGGGAAACCACAUUUCUGCGGCGGUCCGGUCCAUGUCAAGCCUAGGUAAGGUUCUUCGCGUUGCGUCGAAUUAAACCACAUGCUCCACCGCUUGUGCGGGCCCCCGUCAAUUCCUUUGAGUUUUAGCCUUGCGGCCGUACUCCUCAGGCGGGGUGCUUAAUGCGUUAGCUUCGGCACGGGGGGAGUCGACACCCCCCACACCUAGCACCCAUCGUUUACGGCGUGGACUAC